CCUACGGGUGGCAGCAGUAGGGAAUCUUCGGCAAUGGACGGAAGUCUGACCGAGCAACGCCGCGUGAGUGAAGAAGGUUUUCGGAUCGUAAAGCUCUGUUGUAAGAGAAGAACGAGUGUGAGAGUGGAAAGUUCACACUGUGACGGUAUCUUACCAGAAAGGGACGGCUAACUACGUGCCAGCAGCCGCGGUAAUACGUAGGUCCCGAGCGUUGUCCGGAUUUAUUGGGCGUAAAGCGAGCGCAGGCGGUUAGAUAAGUCUGAAGUUAAAGGCUGUGGCUUAACCAUAGUACGCUUUGGAAACUGUUUAACUUGAGUGCAAGAGGGGAGAGUGGAAUUCCAUGUGUAGCGGUGAAAUGCGUAGAUAUAUGGAGGAACACCGGUGGCGAAAGCGGCUCUCUGGCUUGUAACUGACGCUGAGGCUCGAAAGCGUGGGGAGCAAACAGGAUUAGAUACCCUAGUAGUC
Molecule: ribosomal RNA, 465 nt
Filed under: uncultured bacterium
Lineage: Bacteria
Description: bacterial SSU rRNA
Rfam family: Bacterial small subunit ribosomal RNA
Source: RNAcentral